Long non-coding RNA from Tarenaya hassleriana, 332 nucleotides. RefSeq lists it as uncharacterized. The record is from RefSeq and is a predicted model, not a curated record. The transcript has 2 exons. NCBI's taxonomy places the organism in Eukaryota, Viridiplantae, Streptophyta, Magnoliopsida, Brassicales, Cleomaceae.
UAAAACUCAAACCUCUCUUCUCCAACACAAAAUGGCGAAAAGCACUUUGAAAUUUGCAUUCAUGCUCUCCCUUUUCAUCGCCGCCUUUUACAUUUCGGUGUCCGAAGCGAGGGAGAUGAAGGAAGAAACCAGUCGUAACUGUGCCAAUGGAGCUUGUCUCCCCGGCAGUGGGGACGUUGGGCUGGAGACGGUAUAUAAAUGCAAAACUGAUGAUGAGUGUGUGCGUAAAUGUGGGUUCAACUUUGGUUUUUGUAUUGCUGGAUUCUGUCGUUGCACCGACGUCUAAAACAAGAACCAUUAAAAGAUGAAUAAAUUAAUAAGUGUUUUUUUCA